This 334-nucleotide ribosomal RNA is filed under the name uncultured soil bacterium. RNAcentral's name for it is "bacterial SSU rRNA". It matches the Rfam family "Bacterial small subunit ribosomal RNA", at positions 26 to 351 of the family's 1533-position model. The record is from RNAcentral.
AGGACGAACGCUGGCGGCGCGCUUAACACAUGCAAGUCGAGCGAGAACCAGGGCUUCGGCCCUGGGGACAGCGGCGAACGGGUGAGUAACACGUGGGUAACCUGCCCUCGGCACCGGAAUAGCCCGGGGAAACCCGGAUUAAUGCUGGAUAGCCUCACGGAUCCUCGGGUCUGUGAGAAAAGGUAGCCUCGGCUUCCGGCUGAGGAUGGGCCCGCGGCCGAUUAGCUAGUUGGUGAGGUAAUGGCUCACCAAGGCUACGAUCCGUAACUGGUCUGAGAGGAUGAUCAGUCACACUAGGAACUGAGACACGGUCCAGACUCCGUAACGGGAGCAG